GGUUUGGUGAUCAUAGCGAGAGCAAAACACCUGGUCCCAUCCCGAACCCAGCCGUUAAGUGCCUUAGCGCCGAUGGUACUGCGUCUUAAGACGUGGGAGAGUAGGUCAUCGCCAAACCU
RNAcentral lists this ribosomal RNA (119 nucleotides) under Sulfitobacter noctilucae. The record is from RNAcentral. Lineage: Bacteria; Pseudomonadati; Pseudomonadota; Alphaproteobacteria; Rhodobacterales; Roseobacteraceae.